This 1968-nucleotide ribosomal RNA is filed under the name Odoribacter splanchnicus. RNAcentral describes it as "partial 23S ribosomal RNA". It matches the Rfam family "Bacterial large subunit ribosomal RNA", at positions 1 to 1973 of the family's 2925-position model. The record is from RNAcentral. Lineage: Bacteria; Pseudomonadati; Bacteroidota; Bacteroidia; Bacteroidales; Odoribacteraceae.
AUAAAUUAAAGUAAAUAAUAAAGGGCGUAUGGUGGAUGCCUAGGCUCUCAGAGGCGAAGAAGGACGUGAUAAGCUGCGAAAAGCUCCGUUUAGGUGCAAAUAACCUUUGAUGCGGAGAUCUCCGAAUGGGAUAACCCAAUAUGUUGAAGACAUAUUAUACCGUAAGGUAGGCAAACGCAGGGAACUGAAACAUCUAAGUACCUGCAGGAGAAGAAAACAAACGUGAUUCCCCCAGUAGCGGCGAGCGACCGGGGAAAAGCCCAAACCGUUAUUGUUUCGGCAUUAACGGGGUAGUAGGACUGCAAGCUUGAUGAAAUAAAUGAAAUGGAACACCUUGGAAAAUGUGAUCACAGAGGGUGAUAAUCCCGUACAUGCAAGUUUAUGAAUCAUAGCAGACUCCUGAGUAAGUCGGGACACGUGUAAUCCUGACCGAAUCCGCCGGGACCAUCCGGCAAGGCUAAAUACUCCUGAGAGACCGAUAGUGAACCAGUACCGUGAGGGAAAGGUGAAAAGCACUUCGAACAGAAGAGUGAAAUAGUCCCUGAACCCAUACGCCUACAAGCUGUCGGAGCCGCUUCGUGCGGUGACGGCGUGCCUUUUGCAUAAUGAGCCUACGAGUUACUCAUCACCAGCGAGGUUAAGUACUUCAGGUACGUAAGCCGAAGCGAAAGCGAGUCUGAAUAGGGCGUCAAGUUGGUGGUGGUAGACGCGAAACCUUAGUGAUCUACCCAUGGGCAGGGUGAAGGUUUGGUAACACAAACUGGAGGCCCGAACCGGUAAACGUUGAAAAGUUUUCGGAUGACCUGUGGGUAGGGGUGAAAGGCCAAUCAAACUGGGAAAUAGCUCGUACUCUCCGAAAUGCAUUUAGGUGCAGCCUCUGUUGUUUUGUUCUAGAGGUAGAGCUACUGAUUGGAUGCGAGGGCUUCACCGCCUAUCAAAUCCGGCCAAACUCCGAAUGCUAGAACAUGAAGACAGGGAGUGAGCCAGCGGGUGCUAAGGUCCGUUGACGAAAGAGGGAGAACUCAGACCAUCAGCUAAGGUCCCCAAUUGUAUGCUAAGUUGGAAUUAAAACGGGGUGGGACUGCUUAGACAGCUAGGAUGUUGGCUUGGAAGCAGCCAUUCAUUUAAAGAGUGCGUAACAGCUCACUAGUCGAGCGGUCCUGCAUGGAUAAUACGCGGGCAUAAGCAUAUAACCGAAGCUAUGGGAUUGUAGAUGAUACAAUCGGUAGGAGAGCAUUCCAUUCAGCGUAGAAGCAGUACCGUGAGGUAUUGUGGAGCGGAUGGAAAAGCAAAUGUAGGCAUAAGUAACGAUAAUGCGGGUGAGAACCCCGCACGCCGAAAGAUCAAGGAUUCCCCGGCAAUGUCAAUCAUCCGGGGGUAAGUCGGAUCCUAAGGGUAAGCCGAGUGGCGAUCCCGAUGGCAAACAGGUUAAUAUUCCUGUACUGAUCAUAACUGCGAUGCAGCGACGCAGAGGUGACACUGCUGCGUACUGACGGAAUAGUACGUUGAAACCCGUAUUCUUUGAUACCGGUAGUGAAGCACGCCGGUAGAGAUGAAAGGUGAUAGUACCGCAAUGCUUCGGUUGCGCGGAUAACGCAGGUAAGCUGACUGCCAAGAAAACCUGCUAAGCUUCAGGUAAUGAUCAUCCGUACUGUAAACGGACACACGUGAUCAGGUAGAAAAUACUAAGGCGCUCGAGAGAUUCAUGGUUAAGGAACUAGGCAAAAUGGUCCUGUAACUUCGGGAUAAAGGACGCUCUUGUGAAAGAGCCGCAGAUAAUAGGCCCAGGCGACUGUUUACCAAAAACACAUGGCUAUGCUAAUUCGCAAGAAGAUGUAUAUGGCCUGACACCUGCCCGGUGCCGGAAGGUUAAGAGGAGAGCUCAGAGGCAACUCGAAGGUUUGAAUUGAAGCCCCGGUAAACGGCGGCCGUAACUAUAACGGUCCUAAGGUAGCGAAAUUCCUUGUC